RNAcentral lists this ribosomal RNA (447 nucleotides) under Didimacar tenebrica. RNAcentral's name for it is "partial 12S ribosomal RNA". The record is from RNAcentral. Lineage: Eukaryota; Metazoa; Mollusca; Bivalvia; Arcoida; Noetiidae.
UGUUACUUCAGGUGUUAAGGAUAAUUGUUGGGGUUUGCUAGGCGACUAUGCUUAAGAAGUCAAAGUCGAAGUACUUGGCGGUCUGGGAUUCCCUUCCCGUGAGACUUGACGGUUAAUCCGAUGAUCCGCGUUUAAGUGUACUUGCUUUUGAGAAAGAUUUGUGAAGUUUGAUCAGUUGGUGUAUGGUCGUCGUAAGUUUAUAUUGUGAAGUUUUUAGAGGAAUAGGCGGGGACUUUUGUGUUUCUGAAAGGUAGUUGGUGGGUUUAAGGAAACUUAAAAGAGUAAGUCAGAUCGUUAUGCCGCCCAUGGGUAAGGCUUAGUUGAGUCACACUAAAAAGAUAGGUAAGGACGGAUCUGGAACAGGAAGAAGUUGGGUUGAAGGAGGAAUGGGAAGUAAAAUGAAAUUAAAAUGUUUUUUUGAAUUGUGAAUUUUCAGGUGUACAAAUC